RNAcentral lists this ribosomal RNA (65 nucleotides) under Rosa chinensis. Its description in RNAcentral is "partial 5.8S ribosomal RNA". The record is from RNAcentral. Lineage: Eukaryota; Viridiplantae; Streptophyta; Magnoliopsida; Rosales; Rosaceae.
UAGAGUCUUUGAACGCAAGUUGCGCCCGAAGCCAUUAGGCCGAGGGCACGUCUGCCUGGGCGUCA